ACCAUCUACCCGACUCAUCAAACAACUAAUCUUUGAUCACUCCGCCCAUUUCUAAAUUAGGAAGUCGCAACUGAGCGUCCGAACCACAAGCGUUGACUGAGUCUACCGAGUGGCUUACAUUUCUAAGAUCUUGGAGCAGAUACAGAAAAAGGCACCCUCACCUGCUGCCCUGGGAGAAGCCCAGGCACGAAGCCAGAUUUACAAAUCAUAAAGCCGCCACACAGGAAAGGAGUGGAAAUAAACGGGGGCUUGGUGAGAACGGACACAAAGCCACGACCACUCUGGAGACUGAGCGAAGGCUCCAGCCUAGUGACCGACCCUUCAACAGCCUGCGAGGAAAAAUGAGCAUCCUUUACAAGUGAACGUGUUUGCCGUCAGCUGUUGGACCGAGCGUGUGAAAAAGUGCAUCUCGAGACAAGCCGAAGAAAAGGGUUACGUUGUUGACAACAUCUUGGUUUCGUUCCAGAGAAGGUCAGUGGUUUGUGUGACAUGGACGCAGACUGAACGGCAGAUUAUUUAACAAUUUCAAAAAAAAUUAAAUCAUCUAGUCAGCCAAAGGUCUGGUGCACAGAUGCGGGUCAUCUACCCCAGGGCAGGGAGAUGAAAGGCUUUCCUGGCCGUUGGUGGCAGAGUUAGCACGUUAGUACCAUCUCUCCGGCCGCACCGUGUCACACGCAGGGUCCUCGGGAGACCAGCGCGCGGCCAUGUGACUGUCCCCUGCUACGUUAGAAACGCAGUUCUGUUUUUUCAAGCAUGCUUCGAUUAAAGAGGGCACAUCUGUUUUAAGUUC
This 790-nucleotide long non-coding RNA is filed under the name Suricata suricatta (meerkat). RNAcentral's name for it is "lncRNA (ENSSSUG00005023130.1)". The record is from RNAcentral. Lineage: Eukaryota; Metazoa; Chordata; Mammalia; Carnivora; Herpestidae.